AUAAAAACCAACCUUAUAAAACUAGGAGUACAAUCAGCCCUCUAUACCUGUUGGUUCCACAUCUGCGCAUUCAACCAACCACAGAUCAAAAAUAUUCAAAAAAUAAAAGAUAAUACAAAUUUUUAAAUGCAGUAUAACAACUAUUUAUAUAGCAACCUAAUGAAGAGAAUCUGUAAUAAACCUACAACUAACAUCAUUCUCUCUUUUUUUUCUUUUUUCAAGACAGGUCUUGCUCUGUUGCCCAGGUUGGAGUAAAAUGGUACAAUCACAGUUCACUGCAGCCUCGACCUCUCCAGUUCAAGUGAUCCUCCUGACUCUGCCUUCUGAGUGGCUGAGACUAUAGGCAUGCAUCAUUAUGCCUGGCUUUUUAAAAAACUUUUUGUAAAGAUGGGGUCUCCCUAUGUUGCCCAGGCUGAUCUUGAACACCUGGGCUCAAGGGAUCCUCCUGCCUUGGCAUCCCAAAGUAUUGAGAUUACAGGCAUGAGCCACCAUGCCUGGUCCUAACAUCAUUUUUUGGAUACUGCGCUUACUUCCUAAGAUCAAGAACAAGCAGAAAGGAGAUGUGUGUAUGAGUUCUGCAGAAGUCCACCAAAUGUGGGCCAGGGUUAUUUCCCUGGUGAUGCUCUGAAGCUUUUGCCAAAGGACAAAUGGAAACAGGAAGUACAAUCAUGCACUGGGGUAAAGAAGAUUCAUCUGCUCUUAGCUACCUACCAUGCCAACACUCCUGAGAAAGCUCACAGAGGCCCAUGAUGCCCACCUGGAUCUGAGGACCUAGAAAGCCACAACAGGCAACCAUAAUCUGGGUCUUCCCUCAGCCAACUCCCCUGCAUAAAGUGAAUGAAUGAAAAACCCAUCUUAUAUUAAUCAGAGUUCUCUAGAGAAAAAGAACCAAUCAGAUGUGUAUAUAUAGAAAGAGAGAAUUAUUUUAGGGAAUUAGCUCACAUCAUUAUGCAGGCUGGUCAAUCAAAAAUCUGUGGAGUGGGCUAGCAGGCUGGAGACCCAGGGAAAGGCUAAAUUGCAGUUUAGAUCAGAAGGUCAUCUACUGGCAGAAUUCCCUCAUCUUCCAGGAAGGUGGAUCUUUUUCUACCAAGGCCUUCAGUUUAUUAGAUUAGGCCCAUGAACAUGCUGGAGGGUAAUCUGCUUUACUCAAUACAUACUGAUUUGAAUGUUAGUAUCAUCAAAAAGACCUUCACAGAAACAUCUAAAAUAAUGUUUGACCAAAUGUCUGCAUACCAUGGCCAAGCCAAGUUUACACAUAAAAUUAAUUAUCACACAUCCCACGAACACCAUCCCCAACAGAUGCUCAUGAGCAUUGUGGUUAUGAUUUCAACUUCAGAAUAAGGCAGAAAUGUGUACAAAUCCUGACCCUUUGACUUAUCAGCUCUCUAAAAAUCAUUAUAUGUCAACUUUCUAGACUUUACCUGAAAAACAGAAACCAAGAUACCCACAGCAUAAGAUUGUUAGGAUUGAAGAAAUUGUUACGAUUGUUAGGUAUGAAGAAAUUUAAACAAUGAUGCAGCUGAGAUAUUUAGAAUUGUACCUGGCAUGUACUUUGUAUUAAAUAACUAAUAAGGCCUUUUUCUGGUGAAAACAAAAUAAGCCUGGAUAAAAGAAGAUGAGACCAGAUUGGUUGAUGGCUCGGCCUGGGUGGGCUCCUGGCCCAUCUGAAAUUACAUUACUCUUAUGUAGUGCCUUUUUUGUUAUUGCUAAAAUAAAAUAAAUAAAACACUCUACUUUCAUACUUUGUAAAAUGCACUUCUCAUUCAGUUCCUCUUCCUGUGCCUUUUCCCUAUUGUCUAUCUGCACACAGCUGUUUUCUUCUGCACAUUUUCAUCACAGAGAAUUACCAGGUGUAGGUCAAAAGAUGCCACAGAGAUAACAAAGGAAAGGAAAAGCUUUUCUGCACUUCUAUCCUUGUAAGCACAAAAAUUAAUCACACUUUCAGUAAACAGGUCAGGUAAGUCAGUCCUGCACUUGAACCUUUUCUCCCCAAAUAAAUAGUUGAAAUGGGAAUGUCGAUUUCUGUAUUUGAACAGAAAUGUAUUAGUGUAGCUUUCAAAAGAAGACUACUCUCUCCAUAUGAAUAUCAUCAGACCCACAAAUACACAUAUGCAUACAUUCACAGUUCAUCCUAACGCUGCAGAAUAUUCUAAGAGUAACACAUUUCUGUACAAAUCAAGCAGCAGCUUUCACUUGCAUGCUAAUCUUCAAAUUAAUUCUGCAAUGAUCCAUUCAUUCCACAUCCCAACCUACAUCCUCAGAAAAACAAAGAUGUAAGUAAGGAACUCAGUAUAACAUGUUUGACUUUAGACACUACUCAAAUAUACUCAAACUUUAUAUGAAUAUGGAUAUUGCUCCUAGAUUAGGCAGUUCAGAAAACAAAUCUUGAUUAUUCUUAGUUACAAUGUAGUAUAAAAUAACAACAAUUUCAUGUCAACAACAGAAUCUCCUAAAAGAUCUUAUAAAGAUAAAAAGUCUUAGGUGUUAGUCGUCAAAGACUAAGUUGUAAAUGUAUCAUUGUAUUUGUGUAGUUAAUAAAACCCUAGACAAGAUAUGGGUUCCAGUUCUUGAACCACCACCACCUGUUCACCUUAAAUAAGUCAACUAAC
This 2609-nucleotide long non-coding RNA is filed under the name Homo sapiens (human). Its description in RNAcentral is "HSALNT0192954". The record is from RNAcentral. Lineage: Eukaryota; Metazoa; Chordata; Mammalia; Primates; Hominidae.